GCCCUUGUUUUUCAAAACAUGUCUUGAUGUAAUUUAAUAUUAAGUCUGGCCUGCUCAAUGAUUUUUAAUUUAAUAGCCGCAGUAUAUUAACUGUGCAAAGGUAGCAUAAUCAUUUGUCUUUUAAUUGAAGGCUUGUAUGAAUGGUUGAAUGAAGGGAUUACUUUCUUUAUAUUAAAUGUUGAAUUUAAUUUUUAAGUUAAAAAGCUUAAAUUUUUAAGGGGGACGAGAAGACCCUAUAGAAUUUUAUUUUAAUUGGUAAUUAAGGAGUUUGGAUAUUUAUCUGUUUAAUGAUCAAUUAAAAUUUUGUUGGGGUGACAGUGAGAUUAAUUUAACUCUCAUAUUUUAAAUAUUUAAUAAUUUUUAUGUUAAAGAUCCUUUUUUAAGGAUAAUUAGAUUAAAUUACCUUAGGGAUAACAGCGUUAUUUUUUCGGAGAGUUCUUAUUGAUGAAAAAGUUUGCGACCUCGAUGUUGGAUUAAAAUAAGAUUUAAGUGCAGAAGCUUAAUUCUAGGUCGUCGAA
Molecule: ribosomal RNA, 518 nt
Filed under: Aelia acuminata
Lineage: Eukaryota; Metazoa; Arthropoda; Insecta; Hemiptera; Pentatomidae
Description: partial large subunit ribosomal RNA
Rfam family: Bacterial large subunit ribosomal RNA
Source: RNAcentral